GGAAGGAUCAUUACUGAAUUGUCGACACGAGUUGUUGCUGGUCCUCGAAUGGGGGCAUGUGCACGCUCUGUUUACACAUCCACUCACACCUGUGCACCCUCUGUAGUUCUAUGGCCUGAGGGACGAUGUCCACUUGCCAUGGUUCUAUAUCUUUACAUACACACACCAUGAUAAAGUCUUAUGGAAUGUAUGCCGCGUUUAACGCAAUACAAUACAACUUUCAGCAACGGAUCUCUUGGCUCUCGCAUCGAUGAAGAACGCAGCGAAAUGCGAUAAGUAAUGUGAAUUGCAGAAUUCAGUGAAUCAUCGAAUCUUUGAACGCACCUUGCGCCCUUUGGUUAUUCCGAAGGGCAUGCCUGUUUGAGUAUCAUGAACACCUCAACUCCCAUGGUUCGCCAUGGUGAGCUUGGACUUUGGAGGUCUUGCUGGCAUGUGGUCGGCUCCUCUCAAAUGAAUCAGCUUGCCAGUGUCUGGUGGCGUCGCAGGUGUGAUAACUAUCUACGCUUGUGAUAAAUCCGCCAGGUAACCUUCAGCAAUGGAGGUUCACUGGAGCUCACAGAUGUCUCUGCUCAGUGGGAGACAGCUUUUGAACAUUUGAUCUCAAAUCAGGUAGGACUACCCGCUGAACUUAAGCAUAUCAAUAAGCGGAGGAAAAGAAACUAACAAGGAUUCCCCUAGUAACUGCGAGUGAAGCGGGAAGAGCUCAAAUUUAAAAUCUGGUGUGCCUCUGGCCAUCCGAGUUGUAGUCUGGAGAAGCGACUUCCGUGUUGGACCGUGUAUAAGUCUCUUGGAACAGGGCGUCAUAGAGGGUGAGAAUCCCGUCUUUGACACGGACUACCAAUGCUUUGUGAUGCGCUCUCAAAGAGUCGAGUUGUUUGGGAAUGCAGCUCAAAAUGGGUGGUAAAUUCCAUCUAAAGCUAAAU
RNAcentral lists this ribosomal RNA (923 nucleotides) under uncultured fungus. Its description in RNAcentral is "eukaryotic LSU rRNA". The stretch from base 596 to 923 matches the Rfam family "Eukaryotic large subunit ribosomal RNA", at positions 1 to 321 of the family's 3401-position model. The record is from RNAcentral. Lineage: Eukaryota; Fungi.